GGUGCCUGAGGAAGUUGCGGUGGCUGGUACCUGACAGCUGGGGAGCAAGUGGCGGCGUGCCGCGGGGAUAAAGCCUUUCCCCUUCUGGGAACCCAGCUCGGAUCGGAGGCCGCGCCGUGUUUCUCACCCACGAUCCCCAUGCACUAGAAGUGAGGUGCAGGCUCCCUGAACGUUGCUUCUAAAGAGGCUUAAUGAUUCCAUGGUAUGGCACGAAAUAAAUCCGCAAC
Molecule: long non-coding RNA, 227 nt
Filed under: Gopherus evgoodei (Goodes thornscrub tortoise)
Lineage: Eukaryota; Metazoa; Chordata; Testudines; Testudinidae
Description: lncRNA (ENSGEVG00005015568.1)
Source: RNAcentral